AUGUUUUUUUUCUGUUGUUCAUGUCAUGAAUAUUGUUCAGAAGUCACUAUGAUGACUGCUCGAGGGUCACCAAGGUUGAGCCUCCUCAAAAAAGCUGUCGAAAGGGAUAGAGCAUCACCUCCUACAAGUAGUAUGACAAAGAGGAGGAGAGGGUCUCCCAAAGAAGAUAGAGCACAGUGGAAUGCAAGCCUUGAUAAAGAUCUUGUGGACUUGCUUCGUGAGCAUGCUACACCUGAACAUAAGGGUCAAAAUGGAUGGAGCUCAGAAGCAUGGAAUACGAUAGUGAAGAAAUUCCACCAGAAGAAUCCUUAUGCUAGGUACGAGAAGAAGAAAAUCCAAGAAAAGGAAAAAGAGUUAAAAAAAGAAUACAAGAUGAUCAAAGAGAUAAGGAAGCAAAGCGGCGUUUCAUCGGACGACCGGCAGUGCAAGAUUCUAGCGGAUCCACCACUUUGGAAAAACAUCAUCAUAUCACACCCUAAAGCUGGAAAGUUCAAGACAAAAGCCUUCCCUCUUUUUGAAGCUUUGGGAGAAUUGCAUGAUGGCCAAACUGCAGAAGGGACAUAUAAUUUCACCUCUAUCGAGUCAUCGCAUUGCUCAACUCAAUCACGUCUCGAGAAUCUUGGAGGAGCUGGCAAGAAUCAAGGAGAAACAUCAGCUGAUGGUGAGAAUCUUGGAGGAGAAAGGGUGCAGAUUAUUGAAGAUGUUGAGGAGGUGCACGUGCAAGAAAACAUUGUCGUGGAGCCCCAACAAACUCAACCAAAUUUGGCUACUGCACCCUCAAGAAAUGGAGAAGAGAAAGAACCAAAGAGAAGGAGGGGGGCGAAUGGUGAUGUGGCUGCAAUGAUGGAGAAGUACUUGGAAAUAAGGACGAAGCAGGUGGAGGAUGAGAGGAAUAAGCCAAGGGUCGUGGAUGAGUACUCUAUCAAAAACUACAUUGAUCUACAGAAAACAAUGGACAUCACACCUGAAGAACAAGUCAAGGCUUUCCGAGUCUUCAAGAUCCCUGAGAACCGAGAGAUUUUCAUGAGUGCCAGACCGGAGACUGCUCUUAUGUGGCUGAGAGUUGAAAUGGAAUAA
This 1077-nucleotide ribosomal RNA is filed under the name Triticum aestivum (bread wheat). RNAcentral's name for it is "partial small subunit ribosomal RNA". The record is from RNAcentral. Lineage: Eukaryota; Viridiplantae; Streptophyta; Magnoliopsida; Poales; Poaceae.